RNAcentral lists this transfer RNA (85 nucleotides) under Candidatus Campbellbacteria bacterium RIFCSPHIGHO2_01_FULL_34_10. RNAcentral describes it as "tRNA-Leu". It matches the Rfam family "tRNA". From Rfam's summary of the family: Transfer RNA (tRNA) molecules are approximately 80 nucleotides in length. Their secondary structure includes four short double-helical elements and three loops (D, anti-codon, and T loops). RNAcentral also lists the same sequence under 3 other names. Lineage: Bacteria; Candidatus Campbelliibacteriota. The record is from RNAcentral.
GCCGAGGUGGUGGAAUUGGUAUACACGCACGACUCAAAAUCGUGUCUCGCAAGGGAUGGGAGUUCGACUCUCCCCCUCGGCACCA